This 276-nucleotide ribosomal RNA is filed under the name uncultured bacterium. RNAcentral describes it as "partial 16S ribosomal RNA". It matches the Rfam family "Bacterial small subunit ribosomal RNA", at positions 44 to 334 of the family's 1533-position model. The record is from RNAcentral.
GUGCCUAACACAUGCAAGUCGAACGAGAAAGGGGAGCAAUCCCUGAGUAAAGUGGCGACCGGGUGAGUAACACGUGACUAACCUACCCUCGAGUGUGGAAUAACAUCGGGAAACCGAUGCUAAUACCGCAUAACAUCGCAAGAUCAAAGGAGCAAUCCGCUUGAGGAGGGGGUCGCGGCUGAUUAGCUAGUUGGCGGGGUAACGGCCCACCAAGGCGAAGAUCGGUAUCCGGCCUGAGAGGGCGCACGGACACACUGGAACUGAAACACGGUCCAG